This 327-nucleotide ribosomal RNA is filed under the name uncultured soil bacterium. RNAcentral's name for it is "bacterial SSU rRNA". It matches the Rfam family "Bacterial small subunit ribosomal RNA", at positions 26 to 350 of the family's 1533-position model. The record is from RNAcentral.
AGAUUGAACGCUGGCGGCAGGCCUAACACAUGCAAGUCGAGCGGCAGCACGGGUACUUGUACCUGGUGGCGAGCGGCGGACGGGUGAGUAAUGCCUAGGAAUCUGCCUGGUAGUGGGGGAUAACGCUCGGAAACGGACGCUAAUACCGCAUACGUCCUACGGGAGAAAGCAGGGGACCUUCGGGCCUUGCGCUAUCAGAUGAGCCUAGGUCGGAUUAGCUAGUUGGUGAGGUAAUGGCUCACCAAGGCGACGAUCCGUAACUGGUCUAGAGAGGAUGAUCAGUCACACUGGAACUGAGACACGGUCCAGACCUCCGUACGGGAGGCC